RNAcentral lists this ribosomal RNA (478 nucleotides) under uncultured bacterium. Its description in RNAcentral is "partial 16S ribosomal RNA". It matches the Rfam family "Bacterial small subunit ribosomal RNA", at positions 28 to 507 of the family's 1533-position model. The record is from RNAcentral.
GAUGAACGCUGGCGGCGUGCUUAACACAUGCAAGUCGAACGGGCAGUCUUUUAUUGUAACUUCGGGCGAUUUAAUUCAAUUCUAUUGGCGGCCGGGUGAGUAACGCGUGGGUAGCCUGCCUUAAACACGGGGAUAACAGUCAGAAAUCGCUGCUAAUACUGCAUAAGCGCACACAGCUGUAGGGCUCAGUGUGAAAAACUCCGGUGGUAUAAGAUGGACCCGCGUUGGAUUAGCUUGUUGGCAGGGUAACGGCCUACCAAGGCGACGAUCCAUAGCCGGCCUGAGAGGGUGAACGGCCACAUUGGGACUGAGACACGGCCCAGACUCCUACGGGAGGCAGCAGUGGGGAAUAUUGCACAAUGGGGGAAACCCUGAUGCAGCGACGCCGCGUGAAGGAAGAAGUAUCUCGGUAUGUAAACUUCUAUCAGCAGGGAAGAUAGUGACGGUACCUGACGAAGAAGCCCCGGCUAACUACGUG